UACAGAGGUGGCAAGCGUUGUUCGGAAUUACUGGGCGUAAAGGGCGCGUAGGCGGUCUUUUAAGUUCCGUGUGAAAUCCCUCGGCUCAACUGGGGAACGGCACGGGAAACUGGAAGGCUUGAGUUCGGGAGAGGGAAGCGGAAUUCCGGGUGUAGCGGUGAAAUGCGUAGAUAUCCGGAGGAACACCGGUGGCGAAGGCGGCUUCCUGGACCGACACUGACGCUGAGGCGCGAAAGCCAGGGGAGCAAACGGG
This 253-nucleotide ribosomal RNA is filed under the name uncultured bacterium. RNAcentral's name for it is "partial 16S ribosomal RNA". It matches the Rfam family "Bacterial small subunit ribosomal RNA", at positions 524 to 776 of the family's 1533-position model. The record is from RNAcentral.